RNAcentral lists this ribosomal RNA (469 nucleotides) under Uliginosibacterium sp. RNAcentral describes it as "bacterial SSU rRNA". It matches the Rfam family "Bacterial small subunit ribosomal RNA", at positions 395 to 855 of the family's 1533-position model. The record is from RNAcentral. Lineage: Bacteria; Pseudomonadati; Pseudomonadota; Betaproteobacteria; Rhodocyclales; Zoogloeaceae.
UGCCGCGUGAGUGAAGAAGGCCUUCGGGUUGUAAAGCUCUUUCGGACAGAAAGAAAUCGCACGGGUAAAUAAUUCGUGUGGAUGACGGUACUGUAAGAAGAAGCACCGGCUAACUACGUGCCAGCAGCCGCGGUAAUACGUAGGGUGCGAGCGUUAAUCGGAAUUACUGGGCGUAAAGCGUGCGCAGGCGGUUGCAUAAGACAGAUGUGAAAUCCCCGGGCUUAACCUGGGAACUGCGUUUGUGACUGUGUAACUGGAGUACGGCAGAGGGGGGUGGAAUUCCUGGUGUAGCAGUGAAAUGCGUAGAUAUCAGGAGGAACACCGAUGGCGAAGGCAGCCCCCUGGGCCUGUACUGACGCUCAUGCACGAAAGCGUGGGGAGCAAACAGGAUUAGAUACCCUGGUAGUCCACGCCCUAAACGAUGUCGACUAGUUGUUCGGGAAGGUGACUUCUUGAGUAACGAAGCUAA